RNAcentral lists this ribosomal RNA (414 nucleotides) under uncultured bacterium. Its description in RNAcentral is "bacterial SSU rRNA". It matches the Rfam family "Bacterial small subunit ribosomal RNA", at positions 30 to 448 of the family's 1533-position model. The record is from RNAcentral.
AUUGAACGCUGGCGGCAUGCCUUACACAUGCAAGUCGAACGGCAGCGGACCUUCGGGUGCCGGCGAGUGGCGAACGGGUGAGUAAUAUAUCGGAACGUACCUUUCAGUGGGGGAUAACGUAGCGAAAGUUACGCUAAUACCGCAUAUUCUGUGAGCAGGAAAGCAGGGGAUCGCAAGACCUUGCGCUGAUUGAGCGGCCGAUAUCAGAUUAGCUAGUUGGUGAGGUAAAGGCUCACCAAGGCGACGAUCUGUAGCGGGUCUGAGAGGAUGAUCCGCCACACUGGAACUGAGACACGGUCCAGACUCCUACGGGAGGCAGCAGUGGGGAAUUUUGGACAAUGGGCGCAAGCCUGAUCCAGCCAUGCCGCGUGAGUGAAGAAGGCCUCGGUUGGUAAGUACGUCUUUCGGUCCGGG